CUAUCUAUUAUAGAUUGUUGUCUUUGUCCCUAACUCAUUUGUUGACUUUAUUUUAACUAGUGUGCCUUUUACCUUAUCUUGAUCCCCCUUUGUUAUCUUUCUUCCCUUUUUUCUUUCUUCCUUUUGUUGCAUAGUGGUUGUAAUUGGCGAGGGUAGACUAGGGGCAUGUCAUAGGUCGGGGUCGGGGUCAGGAGAUGUUGGGUCUGGGCUGGGGUUUGAGGGGGUUGGGUCUGGGUCGGGUCUAGGAUCGAGUUUGGGGUUAGAGGAUAGGGGUAGUAAGGUUAAACGGGAUAAGAGAGCUUCUAGGUUGCGAGUUGGGUCUUGGAACAUUGGUACUUUGUGGGGUAAGUCUAUAGAGUUGGUGAAGAUUCUUAGAAAGAGGAGGGUU
Molecule: long non-coding RNA, 388 nt
Filed under: Capsicum annuum
Lineage: Eukaryota; Viridiplantae; Streptophyta; Magnoliopsida; Solanales; Solanaceae
Description: long non-coding RNA (CANN_LNC021352)
Source: RNAcentral